AGCAGUGGGCCUUCAACGGAGGAACGUGUGCAAGCUGUGGUAGCCUGCGAUGACGACAGCACAGGAGCAAUACACCUUCACCAGAUGAGUCAUCCUUGCCAUGCUGAAGUGUGGUACUGAAGAAAGUCAGCAACAGCGUGAUCUGUCUCAUCAGGACCAUAGCUACGCACGACACGCACCAGCCUUGUCAACACAGAGCACUGUUGUCUCCCCACUAGCUGCAGUUGUCACUCCUCUGCCAGGAACGUCGUCUGGUGUACUGCGUGCAGUCUCGUCACCUCAGCACUUAGGAGGUGGAAGUGGCUGGCAUCCCCCCAAAGAUUGCCCAUCGUCCAGUAGUCUGGCAGCUCCAGCAC
Ornithodoros turicata is the source of this 356-nucleotide long non-coding RNA. RefSeq lists it as uncharacterized. NCBI's taxonomy places the organism in Eukaryota, Metazoa, Arthropoda, Arachnida, Ixodida, Argasidae. The transcript has 3 exons. The record is from RefSeq and is a predicted model, not a curated record.